UUUACUCGACCGUACCCAUUACUACUUGGAUAUCCGUGGUAAUUCUAGAGCUAAUACAUGCACAAAAGCCGCGACUUCUGGGAGCGGUGUACUUAUUAGAUAAAAAGCCAGUCCCUCCCUCGCGGGGGGGUCACCUGGUGAUUCAUGGUCAUUGGUCGGAUCGCACGGCCUCUGCGCCGGCGACGGGUCGUUCAAGUCUCUGCCCUAUCAACUUUCGAUGGUGGGAUAGGGGCCCACCAUGGUUGUGACGGGUAACGGGGAAUUAGGGUUCGAUUCCGGAGAGGGAGCCUGAGAGACGGCUACCACAUCUAAGGAAGGCAGCAGGCGCGCAAAUUACCCAAUCCCGACUCGGGGAGGUAGUGACAAUAAAUAACAAUCCGGGGCCUCUGGUCCCGGAAUUGGAAUGAGAACAAUUUAAAUCCCUUAACGAGGAACAAUUGGAGGGCAAGUCUGGUGCCAGCAGCCGCGGUAAUUCCAGCUCCAAUAGCGUAUAUUAAAAGUUGUUGCAGUUAAAUAGCUCGUAGUUGAAUCCCGGGCCCGCGCUUUGGCGGGCGGGUGCCGACAGGUUUUCGUGCGCGGCGGUUUCGGCCGUCGCGUACGAGGCCAGCCGGCUCACUCGCCCGCCGCGGGCCCAUAAACCGCUCCCCUUUCGGCCCCGGCGUUGUCCUCGCGGGCCGCGCCGGAUCCAAGGCCGGGGGACCUUUACUUUGAAAAAAUUAGAGUGUUCAAAGCAGGCACACGCCGCUCGCAUAGAUUAGCAUGGAAUAACGGAACAGGGCCGCGUCCCUAUUUCGCUGGUUUCUAAGGACGAGGCAAUGGUUAACAGGAACAACUGGGGGCAUUGGUAUUUGGCAGUCAGAGGUGAAAUUCUUGGAUUUGCCAAAGACCGACUACUGCGAAAGCAUCUGCCAAGGGUGUUUUCAUUGAUCAAGAACGAAAGUUGGGGGAUCGAAGACGAUCAGAUACCGUSGUAGUCUCAACCAUAAACGAUGCCGACCGGGG
RNAcentral lists this ribosomal RNA (1002 nucleotides) under Cladochytrium tenue. RNAcentral describes it as "bacterial SSU rRNA". It matches the Rfam family "Eukaryotic small subunit ribosomal RNA", at positions 116 to 1062 of the family's 1831-position model. The record is from RNAcentral. Lineage: Eukaryota; Fungi; Chytridiomycota; Chytridiomycetes; Cladochytriales; Cladochytriaceae.